Long non-coding RNA from Gopherus evgoodei (Goodes thornscrub tortoise), 499 nucleotides. RefSeq lists it as uncharacterized. Lineage: Eukaryota; Metazoa; Chordata; Testudines; Testudinidae. The transcript is spliced from 3 exons. The record is from RefSeq and is a predicted model, not a curated record.
CCACUCGCACGGAGACUGGCAACGUGCGGGCUGUCGGGCCCUGGAGGACCGGUGGGUGGCUGGGGCAGGAGCCCGUUCACGCAGCCUGGACACUGGAGCCAGUAACCCUCGAACCCAACCAAGACGUGCUCCCAGACCCUGAAGACAGAGAAGGGACCUCUGGUCAACAGCGUCUUUCUAGAGAACCUGGGGGCCCUGGACAGCGUUGCAUCAGACCAGAAAGAUGAACCGGACCUGUCUUGGUUUUGCUCAACACCAGUCCUGAGGGCUGUGCCAUGACUGUGAGACUUGAACUUCAGAGGCUAUAAACUGCAAGCUCCAGGACCCCUGUGCUGAACUGUGUUUUAAAAGUUGAUUGAACACUAUUGCCAUAGAUUAUGCAAUGCAAUAACUGUGCUUAACUCAAGAACAUUUAGCACAAGGGGUGACCUUGGUAAAUGUUGUGCAAUUCGGUCGAGACCCUGACAGUAUUUUUUUAAAAAUGACAAUACAAAAAUAG